GAAACACAGGCCGCUGGAUGUCAAGAGGAACACACCAGCGGAAGAACACACAAGCGUCUGGAUGUUCAGUGGCACACACCGCGGAAGGACACACGGGCAGACACAAGCAGACGCCACCAGGCCAUCGACCGGUGGUACAACAUGGAGUUCCGCCGAGGGUGGACAAAGGAGAGCCCAGCUGCUGAGCGGCCUGACUCCAGUUCCAGAGUUUGAAUGUAUUUCUUUACAUGAAGAGGACCUAGGGAUGAAAAAGUGAAUUCAGUUUUGUUUUAUAAUUUCUCACCUCUCAGCACAUCAGAAGUAAAUAUUGGCCCUGCACACUUGGAUCCUUCUAAGCAGUGGAUGCUUCUGUCAGGCUGAGACUAAGGUAAAUAGUGGCUGAUUUUCAGAGACUAACCUUCAGCUGUUAGAUGAAUGAGAGACAUUGUCACCCACAAAAUCACAACUACAUGGGCUCUAGGCUAUUUUUGUCAAUGGCUGUAAAUGCCUCUUUUCCUUAAAUUGAAGUCAAAGAAUCUAAGGCACCUCCCUAAUGUCUGUCAUUUGUUUUAUUUUUCUGUCUUACGGAGAUCAAACUUUUGGUUAUUUGGAGAAUUGGAGAAAAAGAGGCCCUUUCUGUUAUAAUGGAAAAUAACUUACUGGUAACAGGAAUAAUCUCAAUGAUUUUAUGACUUCAUGUACAUAGGUAAAUAUCACUUUGCAUCCUAUAUAAUACAUUUCACAUUUCCAACAGUGAAAAGGAUUUUUAAUGAAAAGUUUUUUCCCAGCUGUCUUUGGACCGAAUAUGAAGCCCAGGAAAUUUCCAAAAUGAGGUAUUCUGAACAUUUUAUAUAGUUAAAUAAAAACAUUCCAUGACCUUUGUUGAUCAUAAAGUCUUAGGAAUCUAUGACUCUUAGAUUCUUGAUAGCAUCUGGGUUGUUCUGGGUUUGCUGAUGUUCAGGUUGUCUCUGAAUUACAUGGUGUGCUGAGAAUGACACCCUCUUGGAUUUGAACUUGGAAAAUUAGUAGCAAACUUAACUGUUAUCCUCAUAUCUAGAUGAAGGUUCUGCAAUAGUUACAGUGAUUGCUUUAAGGCUACAUAAGGUACUUCAUUAUAUGCAGUGGCCUUGUGAAAUUUACAGGAUUUUUUCACUUGCUGAAACAUAUCAUGUUGAAGUUUAAUUCCCUUCAGGCCAGUAAAUAUUUAUUGAGGGCCCACUCAGAAUAUUUGAAGAUGGUAAACCAAUCUUGUCAGAAUAUGUAAACAUAUAUUCCUGUAACUGAGUUUUUUUCUGAAAUACAUCAAUAUAAUCCCAAUACCAAUUGUUUUAUAAGACAGAGGGAGAAGAGAGAAGGGGAUGAUGUGGAAAACUGCUAUUUAAAAUUUUUUUUUAAAUCAGAAAUUUAGAUGAUGCUCUCAGAAUUGCUUUCAUGAUAGUCUAAGGCUUAUGGUGAUCAGAGACACUAUUGGAAAUUGUCCACAGAAAUUAGUUGAUAAUGCUAUUUAAAAAUUAGACUUAUUUUGUUCUUGAAUAAAAAAUACUGACCUAUGCAACCAGCCUGGGCAAUAUAGUGUGACCUCUAUCUCAAAAAAAAAGAAAUUAAAAAUAAUAAUCAAAAAA
Homo sapiens (human) is the source of this 1601-nucleotide long non-coding RNA. RefSeq annotates it as long independently transcribed non-coding RNA 3174. Lineage: Eukaryota; Metazoa; Chordata; Mammalia; Primates; Hominidae. The record is from RefSeq and is a predicted model, not a curated record. The transcript is spliced from 3 exons.